GUCAGCCUGCCAGUGACCAUGUUAAACGGCCGCGGUACCCUAACCGUGCGAAGGUAGCGCAAUCACUUGUUCUUUAAAUGAGGACUAGUAUGAAUGGCAUCACGAGGGUUACACUGUCUCCCACCUCCAAUCAGUGAAACUGAUCUCCCCGUGAAGAAGCGGGAAUAAGAAUAUAAGACGAGAAGACCCCAUGGAGCUUUAAACUCAGUAUCAACCACCAAGAUUUAUAACAUAAAAAUAGGGGGCCCUGAUUACUAGUUUUUGGUUGGGGUGACCGCGGAGUAAAAUGAAACCUCCACAAUGAAUGACACUCCCAUCUUAUCCAAGAGCCUACAACUCUAAGAAUCAAUAAAUUGACAUCUAUUGACCCAAACAAUUUUGACCAACGAACCAAGUUACCCUGGGGAUAACAGCGCAAUCCAUUUCAAGAGCCCCUAUCGACAAAUGGGUUUACGACCUCGAUGUUGGAUCAGGGUAUCCCAGUGGUGCAGCCGCUACUAAAGGUUCGU
Molecule: ribosomal RNA, 509 nt
Filed under: Dermatonotus muelleri (Mueller's termite frog)
Lineage: Eukaryota; Metazoa; Chordata; Amphibia; Anura; Microhylidae
Description: partial 16S ribosomal RNA
Rfam family: Bacterial large subunit ribosomal RNA
Source: RNAcentral